Long non-coding RNA from Pseudopipra pipra, 4122 nucleotides. RefSeq lists it as uncharacterized. The record is from RefSeq and is a predicted model, not a curated record. Lineage: Eukaryota; Metazoa; Chordata; Aves; Passeriformes; Pipridae. The transcript is spliced from 8 exons.
UUAUUUUAUACAAUGUCCUGAGUUGUGCAGCAUCAUUUACAUUUAUAUCUAACUUGGGUUUUUUUUAUGCAUACUUUGCUUCCUUUUUUUUUGGGCCACAUAUUUUUUCACAAGUACAUUUUUUUUUAUACCUUUUUGGCUUGUAUUUACAGAGCUUUGCAAAUCACAACAUGUUUCAUGCAAUCUGUCUCUGUUUCUGCUGAAGAACUGUUACUGGUUUGAUAAGAAGCCAGCACUUUUAAGUAACUGAUCCUUGAGAGUGAUUUGAAUCCCCUGUGUGCUCAGCGGCUCAGCUCACUGAUAAAGGGAAGCUGACUGAGGUAUGAUUCACAAUUAUCACUUUUCUGCAGUGGAGGAUGCUGGUGGGAACCCAGUGGUGGAACAGAGAAGAGAGCAUCACACAGAGGUCUGGCAGGAGUGCAGUGCUGGAGAGCAGCCCCAGCCUCCCAGCUGCUGAAUCUCUGCUGGCUGCUGUUUAUUACCCUGUGCCAGAGCUGCCAGAUAACCUGCAGCACCUCUCCAGGGGACAACCUGGCUCAUAAUGAGCUUACCUGGUAACUGGAAACUAUGAGGUACCAAAAAUGUCUGAGAAAGGAGCAAGGGAGGAGAGAUCUGAGGAUUCAACCAGAGACACUGACCCUGCAUGUCCUGAGGGGCUGAUCACUUAAAAUCCCUUCCUGUGCCCCCCUCCCAGUUCUGCCUGUGGUCUGCAGGAUGACUCAGUGCCAGCAUCUAAUCUCCAGUGAACACCUUGCGAGUGCUGCAGCCUGGAAAAAGGCUGACAGCUCAUUAAUAAUAACCAUCAGCACUGAGAUUUCUUAACUCACCUUAACUGAGAACAAGAAACUCCACAGUUGUUAGAAGUGCCCUGAUGCCCUGAAGAUUAAGAAAGAAACCCUUUCCAUGCCUGAGCCAUCAAAGCUUUCUGCUGUGCUUUAGCAGACUGUCCUCUGCCUUGUGGCCUAGCCUGGCACUGCUGGCAGCAGGGAUAACCUGCUUUGCAUUCACUAGGGAUUAAUUCUGGGUGGAAGAAAAAAAUCUCUGACUUGAGAUGUUCCACACGUCAUGCAGUGAACUUCCCUGCGUGUGGGAAAGCUGCAAGGAUGAUUUCACUGAAAGCACAAAACCAAUUUAAAAUAAAAUCACAGAAUGACAGAAUAUGCUGAGCUGGAAGGGACCCACAAGGAUCAGCGAGUCCAACCCUUAGCCCUGCACAGGACCAUCCCCAAGAGUCACACCCUGCGCCUGAGAAUAUUGUCCAAAUGCUUCUUGAACAGAAGCAGAUGACAGCAUUUCCAGAAAAUUUUUUUUUCCUUGGGAUUUAUGCUUCUGUGGCAUCAAACCAGCUGAGUUUUGAAACUCAGUCAGAAGACAAUAAUUAGCUGAGGCAUUGUUUGAUUGAAUCUUGGAGGAAAAGAAAAGGUGCCUAUCUGAAAUCUGGGUGUUUUAGUAAUAAUUGAGAAUCUGUAAUGAGCUUUUAUCACAGCAGCUCUGAGUUGAUUAUUUAAUAAGAAAUUGGCAGUGGAGGAAAAGUAUAUUAACAUGAAUGUAGCAAGAAGAAAGGAAAUGGGGUGCAUUAUGAGGGUAACCUAACACAAAUUAGUUUCCACCUUUAUUUUGCCCAGUUCAAACUGAGUCCUGACUGCCCUAACAUACCAGUUUGAUUGAGCAGCUAAAUCUCUAGCUUGGUGCAGGAAUUCUUUGUUGCUACAGCCCAGGUCUGUAGCUUCUUUUUGGUACUGCUUCUGGAGAGGAAAGCUUUAUUCUCUGGAAGCCACAGUUCCCUUCCUACCUCAAUAUUUUAUCCAGAAUUUCCCUUGACUGAACCAGCCUGAGACAGAUAAGAGUCUUUUAAUGUAAUGCAGUAAAGAAUGAGUUUCUAAGGCAGAGUGAAUGGAGGGUAUAUGUAAGAAUGUGAUGUGGAAAAGGAAGCACUAAAACUCUUUGAAUGAAUCGUACCAGUCUGGUCUCUGUGCUAAACCCGGCUCCGUUUAAAACUUAAUGGGGUUUAUCUUUUCUACUUUGCUGCUGUUGUACAUGAAACAAUGAAGUCCAUUGCUCCAGGUCCUACAGCUUCAGACUGGUGUUUCUUUUCCUUGAGGACUGGUACUGUGGUUUGAUGCAAAUUCCUUCAUGUCCUGCCUGACUCUAUAACCUUGCAGCACACGUUUUCCUUUGUUUAUUGCCUACUGGCACCUGGAAAGCAAUUAUCUGUUUCUGUCCCCCGAGUGCCUACAGGCCCCAUGCUUUCCUGCCUCCCACGGUUGACUGCUUUUAAAAAGAGAGUGCUGUACCCAUCAACAGGUGUUAGCAGCAUCUGCUAUCAACAUGGCAUCACCCUCUCAGCCGAGCAGCACGCUGCCAAAGAGCUGGCACUCAUUUCAUUAUGCAUACUCCCCAUCUGCAUGCAGAUUCACUUACCAGCUCUUGCCCUAGUGGAACUGGCACGUGUCUUGGUGUGGGCCCAAAGCCACCCAAGCAUAUGGGCUUGGUCUGCUCCAAGUGUGUGCAGCAGAGAUGGUGCAUUUGUAAAACAGGAGCAGGAUUCCCAUGUAGGAAAGGUAGUGCAGUGUUCAGGCCUGGGACUCGCCCUUUUGAAUCCCUGUGGGUCGAGUAUGCUCUCAUCUGUGUUUCUCUGACUCUUUUUGCUUUUAUUCAGUGCUGUGACAAAGAUCUAUAUCAGCUCUUUUUCCUAUCUCUGCAGAAGACCUAAUCUUCAAAAUGGUUUUCCUAUUUGGUUUGUUUGAUUUUUUUGUUUUUAAAUGAAAGCAUUAAAAAUCUGAUUGCUAAUGUAUAUACACAGGAGCCUGCUUCCUGUGGGUAAUAGACUAUACUGAGGAUGUGUGAUGGCUUUUGUUACAUUUCUGUGAAGUUUUUUCCUAGGAAGAAAUCCUUUACAUUGGGAAGAAAUUCUUUUAAGGAGAGCAAUCAGACAUUGGAAUGGGCUGCCCAGGGAGGUGGUGGAUUCACUGUCCCUGGAGGUAUUUAAGAAGAGACUGGAUGUGGCACUUAGUCUGGUUGACAAGGUGCUGUUUGGUCAUAGGUUGGACUCGAUGAUCUCAGAGGUCUUUUCCAACCUGGUUGAUUCUGUGCUUCUGUGUUGCUGUGCUGUGCCUCCCUAUUGUUGUAAUUGCAAAAGACUAUGGAGUGAUUUGCUUUAGGUCCUCUUUUUCACAAAUCUGAGUAACUUUUGCCUAUCAUUCUCCCCUUGUCUGCUGGUUUCUCAAAAAAUUGUGGCCCUAAGCAGAAGCACUUGAACUUAAAACUGGCCAGGGUUGCAGUGUAAGCUAAAUCUUCCCAGCCAUUUCUGACUUACUUGGAGAGAAGCCUGAAGUGAAUAUGCCUCAGACAUCAUGGUCUGGCCUGUAGGACCAGUGUUUGAAUGGCAGUGAAGUUUUCUAUGAAACUUGUGAUAUGGACACUGGAAAACAUCCCCUGAAUGAUUUAUCUUCUUCUUACUCACAUUUGGAUGUUCAGCAAGAAUCCAUUCCAUCUGAACAGCUAAGGAGAGUACACAGAAAAUCUGUGGCACAGGGAUUCCUUCCUUUAAAGGCAAUUACCAGCAGUGCUACCCUUCAUUAGCCCUGCUAGGAGGGAAGUUGUCCCAACAGACGCCACAGUAAUCCCUCCUACAUUUCUGUAGGUAAGUGCAUAGCUUACCUCAAUGCUUGUCCCUUCUCCAAAAACUUUUUAUUUUGUCUGGUGUCAAAAAUCUUGUUUGCUGAUUGCCAAUUUCUUUUAUUAAAUUUAGUGUAGAGCCAACCACAAAAAAAAUUAGGCAGGCUGUGCUAGUAGUGUUAUGUCUGACUGACGUUCCUUUGGAAUUAAUAUUCCAGGAAUUCCGUUCUGGUGGUCGUACUGCUUAGCUACUGAGCAGAAACUUUCAGUGUGGUAAUACUGAUCCAGCUGAGAUCAGCAGAGCUUGCAAGGUACGAGUUGUUGGGCAGCGUUUGCAAGGGCUGGCCUGAGCGCUUUUAUUAUCCAGGCAAUUAAAAAAAAAAAUCAGAUUUCUGCAUCGACCUUUAAAAUUGUACUUGUAUUAAACAUCCAUCUGGGUUCUGGUAGCGUGAUAAUUCUGGAGGACUCUAAUGGACUUUUAAAAUAUAUAUGAUGCAUAACAAA